This 802-nucleotide ribosomal RNA is filed under the name uncultured cyanobacterium. RNAcentral describes it as "bacterial SSU rRNA". It matches the Rfam family "Bacterial small subunit ribosomal RNA", at positions 83 to 914 of the family's 1533-position model. Lineage: Bacteria; Bacillati; Cyanobacteriota. The record is from RNAcentral.
UUUUUAACUCAAGUGGCGGACGGGUGAGUAACACGUAAGAAUUUGCCUUUAGGAGGGGGAUAACAACUGGAAACGGUUGCUAAUACCCCAUAUGCUUUCGAGUGAAAUGGAUUUUUCCGCCUAAAGAGAAGCUUGCGGCUGAUUAGCUUGUUGGUAAGGUAAUGGCUUACCAAGGCGACGAUCAGUAUCUGGUUUGAGAGGACGAUCAGACACACUGGAACUGAGACACGGUCCAGACUCCUACGGGAGGCAGCAGUGGGGAAUUUUCCGCAAUGGGCGAAAGCCUGACGGAGCAAUACCGCGUGAGGGAUGACGGCCUAUGGGUUGUAAACCUCUUUUUUCAGGGAGGAAUAAAAUGACGUGUACCUGAAGAAUAAGCAUCGGCUAACUCCGUGCCAGCAGCCGCGGUAAGACGGGGGAUGCAAGUGUUAUCCGGAAUCACUGGGCGUAAAGCGUCUGUAGGUGGUCAAAUAAGUCAACUGUUAAAUCUUGAGGCUCAACCUCAAAAUCGCAGUCGAAACUAUUAGACUAGAGUAUAGUAGGGGUAAAGGGAAUUUCCAGUGGAGCGGUGAAAUGCGUAGAUAUUGGAAAGAACACCGAUGGCGAAGGCACUUUACUGGGCUAUUACUAACACUCAGAGACGAAAGCUAGGGUAGCAAAUGGGAUUAGAUACCCCAGUAGUCCUAGCUGUAAACAAUGGAUACUAGAUGUUGGACAGAUCGACCUGUGCAGUAUCAAAGCUAACGCGUUAAGUAUCCCGCCUGGGAAGUAUGCUCGCAGAGUGAAACUCAAAGGAAUUGAC